UAUUUGACGAAGGAAUAAAACUAUAUGUAGAUACAUGGCUUGUGGCAGCUAAGCGUUCAUAGCGACGCUGUGUUUGAUCCUUCAAUGUCAGUUAUUCCUAUCAUUCUGAAGCAGUAUUCAGUGAGCACUGGACUGUUCACCUACUAACAGAGAACGUGGGCUGGGUUUAGACCGUCGUGAGACAGGUUAGUUUUACCCUGUUAAUGAAAUGUUGUUGCAAUAGUAAAUAACUUUGAACAAGAGGAACCGUCCAUUCGCAUAAUUGGUAUUUAGGCCGUCUGAGCAGGUAAUAACUUAAAGCUAUCAUCCGUUGGGUUUUAACUGAACGGUCUGUGGAGCGUGACGGAGUGCAGAAAAGGGACAUCAAGAAAGCAAUAGAGUGCGAAAUAUGUUUAAUUUUGGAAAAUGGCUUGUAGCAGCCAUACGUCCAUUCCUUAAGUCAAGGUCUCUCACAAUCGCAAAUAGUUCGGCAAGCAUCACCAGUGUGCAUCGUUUCGUGAAGACACCGAAGAAAACAAAGGAGAUUGAUUGUAUGUGUUGGAUUGGCGAGGCUUGUCGGAAUAACUAUAGCCAUAUGCAUUCAUGCGGUCUCUCGAGGCUCCCCAAUUU
Molecule: non-coding RNA, 609 nt
Filed under: Linnemannia elongata AG-77
Lineage: Eukaryota; Fungi; Mortierellomycota; Mortierellomycetes; Mortierellales; Mortierellaceae
Description: Mortierella elongata AG-77 Eukaryotic large subunit ribosomal RNA
Rfam family: Eukaryotic large subunit ribosomal RNA
Source: Rfam by way of RNAcentral